AGGAUGAACGCUAGCGGCAGGCUUAACACAUGCAAGUCGAGGGGCAACGCGAGUAGCAAUACUUGGCGGCGACCGGCGCAAGGGUGCGUAACGCGUGAGCAACAUGCCCGUAUCAGGGGGAUAAUCCAGGGAAACUUGGUCUAAUACCCCAUAGUAAUUUUGUAAGGCAUCUUAUAAGAUUUAAAGCUUUGGUGGAUACGGAUUGGCUCGCGUGACAUUAGCUGGAUGGUAAGGUAACGGCUUACCAUGGCUAUGAUGUCUAGGGGUUCUGAGAGGAAGGUCCCCCACACUGGAACUGAGACACGGUCCAGACUCCUACGGGAGGCAGCAGUGAGGAAUAUUGGACAAUGGAUGGAAAUCUGAUCCAGCCAUGCCGCGUAGAAGGAAGAAGGUCCUAUGGAUUGUAAACUUCUUUUGUAUGGGAGCAAUAAGGCCUACGAGUAGGCUGAUGAGAGUACCAUACGAAUAAGCACCGGCUAACUCCGUGCCAGCCGCCGC
Molecule: ribosomal RNA, 498 nt
Filed under: uncultured bacterium
Lineage: Bacteria
Description: bacterial SSU rRNA
Rfam family: Bacterial small subunit ribosomal RNA
Source: RNAcentral